UGAUCAUGGCUCAGAUUGAACGCUGGCGGUAUGCUUAACACAUGCAAGUCGAACGGAAACGAUGGAAGCUUGCUUCCAGGCGUCGAGUGGCGGACGGGUGAGUAACGCGUAGGAAUCUGCCAGAUAGUGGGGGAUAGCCCGGAGAAAUCCGGAUUAAUACCGCAUAAUCUCCAUGGAGUAAAGAGGGCCUCUAUUUAUAAGCUUUCGCUAUCUGAUGAGCCUGCGUAAGAUUAGCUAGUUGGUGGGGUAAUGGCCUACCAAGGCGACGAUCUUUAGCUGGUCUGAGAGGAUGAUCAGCCACACUGGGACUGAGACACGGCCCAGACUCCUACGGGAGGCAGCAGUGGGGAAUAUUGGACAAUGGGGGCAACCCUGAUCCAGCAAUACCGCGUGUGUGAAGAAGGCCUGAGGGUUGUAAAGCACUUUCAAUUGUGAAGAAAAGUUAAUAGUUAAUACCUAUUAGCCUUGACGUUAACUUUAGAAGAAGCACCGGCUAACUCCGUGCCAGCAGCCGCGGUAAUACGGAGGGUGCAAGCGUUAAUCGGAAUUACUGGGCGUAAAGCGUGCGUAGGCGGUUGACUAAGUCAGAUGUGAAAGCCCCGGGCUUAACCUGGGAACUGCAUUUGAAACUGGUCAACUAGAGUAUGGUAGAGGAAAGUGGAAUUUCUGGUGUAGCGGUGAAAUGCGUAGAUAUCAGAAGGAACAUCGAUGGCGAA
Molecule: ribosomal RNA, 716 nt
Filed under: uncultured bacterium
Lineage: Bacteria
Description: bacterial SSU rRNA
Rfam family: Bacterial small subunit ribosomal RNA
Source: RNAcentral